UACGGAGGGGGCUAGCGUUGUUCGGAAUUACUGGGCGUAAAGGGCGCGUAGGCGGCACCGCAAGUCGACUGUGAAAUCUCCGGGCUUAACCCGGAAAGGUCAGCCGAUACUGCGGGGCUAGAGUGCAGAAGGGGCAACUGGAAUUCUCGGUGUAGCGGUGAAAUGCGUAGAUAUCGAGAGGAACACCUGCGGCGAAGGCGGGUUGCUGGGCUGACACUGACGCUGAUGCGCGAAAGCUAGGGGAGCGAACGGG
Molecule: ribosomal RNA, 253 nt
Filed under: uncultured bacterium
Lineage: Bacteria
Description: partial 16S ribosomal RNA
Rfam family: Bacterial small subunit ribosomal RNA
Source: RNAcentral